RNAcentral lists this ribosomal RNA (253 nucleotides) under uncultured bacterium. RNAcentral's name for it is "partial 16S ribosomal RNA". It matches the Rfam family "Bacterial small subunit ribosomal RNA", at positions 524 to 776 of the family's 1533-position model. The record is from RNAcentral.
UACAGAGGUGGCGAGCGUUGUCCGGAUUUACUGGGCGUAAAGGGUGAGUAGGCGGCUGGGCAAGUCAAGGAUGAAAUCCCGAGGCUCAACUUCGGAAUUGUCCUUGAAACUGCUCAGCUUGAGGGUAGUUGAGGAGAGCGGAAUUCCCGGUGGAGCGGUGAAAUGCGUAGAUAUCGGGAGGAACACCUGAGGCGAAGGCGGCUCUCUAAGCUACUCCUGACGCUGAAUCAAGAAAGCUAGGGGAGCAAACGGG